RNAcentral lists this ribosomal RNA (274 nucleotides) under uncultured bacterium. RNAcentral describes it as "partial 16S ribosomal RNA". It matches the Rfam family "Bacterial small subunit ribosomal RNA", at positions 523 to 796 of the family's 1533-position model. The record is from RNAcentral.
CGACAGAGGGUGCAAACGUUGCUCGGAAUUACUGGGCAUAAAGCGCACGUAGGCGGCCGUGUAAGUGCGGUGUGAAAGCCCCCGGCCUAACCGGGGAACUGCAUCGCAUACUGCAUGGCUAGAGCUUGGGAGGGGAGAGUGGAACUCCUGGUGGAGCGGUGGAAUGCGUAGAUAUCAGGAGGAACGCCGGAGGUGAAGACGACUCUCUGGCCCAAUGCUGACGCUGAGGUGCGAAAGCUAGGGGAGCGAACGGGAUUAGAAACCCCAGUAGUCC